Molecule: ribosomal RNA, 330 nt
Filed under: Tylenchina sp. A05
Lineage: Eukaryota; Metazoa; Nematoda; Chromadorea; Rhabditida
Description: SSU rRNA
Rfam family: Eukaryotic small subunit ribosomal RNA
Source: RNAcentral
GAUUUGUCUGGUUUAUUCCGAUAACGAGCGAGACUCUAGCCUACUAACUAGUUCACACAUUGCCUUGUGUGUGCAACUUCUUAGAGGGAUUUUCGGUGUUUAGCCGCACGAGAUUGAGCAAUAACAGGUCUGUGAUGCCCUUAGAUGUCCGGGGCUGCACGCGCGCUACACUGGCGAAAUCAGCGUGCUUGUCCUUUCUCGAAAGAGAUUGGUAAACCAUUGAAAAUUUGCCGUGAUUGGGAUCGGAAAUUGCAAUUAUUUUCCGUGAACGAGGAAUUCCAAGUAAGUGCGAGUCAUCAACUCGCGUUGAUUACGUCCCUGCCCUUUGUA